UCCAACAGUUUGAUGUCACCUUGGUGAUGGUGGCUCUGAUGUGAUGGAGGAGGAUGUAAAGUGAAGUGGACAUGUGAUACUGACGCAGCAGAGAGCAUAACAUGUUGUUACCAGCGUCCUGCCAACUAAAGAGAGCAGCAGAGCUUCAGAAUAAAAGCAUGAGGAGAGCACCACCAUCCCUCAGUCCCGACCUGACACAAACAAGAACUCAAAACACCACCGAGCUGAUCAGGAGGGGGCAACCCAGGUUACCUGAGAGCAUUGUGUACGUGUGUCUGCAGGUGAGAAGGCAGAGAGAGAGACUAACACAACUCUUCCACCCUGAAAAUCCUCCUGACACAAUGUGCUU
Long non-coding RNA from Austrofundulus limnaeus, 349 nucleotides. RefSeq lists it as uncharacterized. The record is from RefSeq and is a predicted model, not a curated record. Lineage: Eukaryota; Metazoa; Chordata; Actinopteri; Cyprinodontiformes; Rivulidae. The transcript is spliced from 3 exons.